This 253-nucleotide ribosomal RNA is filed under the name uncultured bacterium. RNAcentral describes it as "partial 16S ribosomal RNA". It matches the Rfam family "Bacterial small subunit ribosomal RNA", at positions 524 to 776 of the family's 1533-position model. The record is from RNAcentral.
UACGUAGGGGGCGAGCGUUGUCCGGAUUUAUUGGGCGUAAAGAGCGUGUAGGCGGCUUGGUAGGUCUGCUGUGAAAACUCGGGGCUCAACCCCGAGACGUCGGUGGAAACCACCUGGCUAGAGUCCGGAAGAGGAGAGUGGAAUUCCUGGUGUAGCGGUGAAAUGCGCAGAUAUCAGGAGGAACACCGGUGGCGAAGGCGGAUCUCUGGGCCUGUUCUGACGCUGAGGCGCGAAAGCUAGGGGAGCGAACAGG